UAAAAUAUUCCAUCUGAACUUAUUAUUUUAUUUUAGACAAACACUUUAUGUAGGAUUGGCUUAGUUAGCUGGCAUUUAAAGUUGCGCCUUCCUUAAACUAUUUAAUAUGAAAACGUUCCACUUGUGUCACAAUAACCAAGAGUAGUUUCUGUAAGGGUUCAUGCCAUAAGUGUUUCCCAUAAACUGAAAUGCAAAAGAAUCGACUACAGAAAAAGAACAAUUAACGCUUUAAUUUCAAAACCGCUCAAUUGCCAAAACACACUGUAAUGCAAAAUCAGAAUGUACAAAACAGAACUCAAAACAUACACAACAGAUUUGGUCGAACUUUCGGACAAUCUCUUUUAACGUUGCUUAUGGCAUAGGUUACAUUGCCUUCGACGGUGACAUUUAAACCAAGGUUAUGGUGCAUCAUUAGCUAUAAGAAGAUGUGGUAUGGGUGUAAAUGAAAUAACGCUCCAUUCAAGUGACAAUUUGUAAAAGUAAACCAACCAUUAUAGGUUAAAGUACGGCUUUCAACACGACUUACACCGAACAGCAAGCUAUAAAGGGCCCCCAAAAAUGACUUCUCAUUCAAAUAGGAAAACAAAAGGUCUUAUCUCUAUAAAAACGAGUAACACUUAUGAACCACAUUGACUAGCGACAGCCACUAAACAUCAGGUUCCCGACUUAGAACAGGUGCAUUGCCGAUAGAAAUCGUAUUCGAAGAUAUUGCUACGGUGCUAAAUGCUACCCUUUACGAAUAGGUUUACAUGGAUCGUAUUUAAUUUUAGUGCUUCAUAGAUAAAUUACAUACACGUUUUGUUUUCAUAAACCACGUAGUUGGCAGAAGGGUCGAUUUUGAGUCUUUAUACUGUUUUUUUUAAGAAAAAAAAACACCAUUAAACAUAACGGAGGCGAUACCACUUUUUAUGCUUUUGUUUUCGGUAUAUUUCUUCCUAUAAUGGAGCUUUCAUCAAAUUUGUAUCUGGUCCCUCCCAAAAAGGUAAAACAUGUGUCUUAUCAUUACAAUUAUGUAUCCAUUUUAUCACUGUUUAAACAGCUUGGAUGGAUGACAGUAGAGAACAGAAUCUCAUACCACAAAUCAAUUUUGAUGCAUAAAUGCCUUAAGAAUGAAACCCCUGUAUAUCUCACUGAAAAAUUUAAAGAAAUGCCAGAAAUAAACCAAUAUUGCUUGAGAAAUGCC
RNAcentral lists this long non-coding RNA (1183 nucleotides) under Mytilus galloprovincialis (Mediterranean mussel). Lineage: Eukaryota; Metazoa; Mollusca; Bivalvia; Mytilida; Mytilidae. The record is from RNAcentral.